This is a long non-coding RNA of Mustela erminea (ermine), 1114 nucleotides long. RefSeq lists it as uncharacterized. The record is from RefSeq and is a predicted model, not a curated record. NCBI's taxonomy places the organism in Eukaryota, Metazoa, Chordata, Mammalia, Carnivora, Mustelidae. The transcript is spliced from 3 exons.
GCACACUCUGUGGGCACACUUGUCACGCAUGCGCCGUCACCAGAGCGGGGCGCAGCCAAUACUUAGGAAAAUUCCUCUCCAGAAAGGCUACUGCACGGACGGAAUGCGCUUGUUUUUUCCUCUUUGGCAUUAAGGAAAGGUACAAGCACUGAGAGACGCGGCUGGCAUAGUCCUUCUACUUCUCAAGUUCUCGUUCCUAAAACCUGGGCAUUCCAGCUCAUCUGUACUCACGGACACACGCAGAGAGUGUGUAACUAACUCCGUUUGGAUGGGAUCACGUAGACCCCAGAUUGGCAUCCAGUGUGUGAGUUACAAGGAAUAAUGUCUCUUACGCCUCUGAUUUUUGUAAAAUCAUCUAUUACCACAGGGAUAUUAGCUCGCAUUCUGCCUUAACCACGACGUUCUAGUCCCUGCUGGCCAGCCCCGAUCUCCUCCGCAUACACACCUUCGCACAGCUGGAGGCUUGCAGGUUCACGGACGGGUGCCACGGGACAGGAAAGCUCUAGCUGUGAGCACUGAUUUCACAGGUGUGGUCACAGCAGGAGAGAGAGAACCAGGGAAGUCGUCAACAGUUAAAAAAAAAAAAAUGCAGGGAUGUAUGCGGGGUCUUCUCAAAGUCGUUUUUCAGGAGGAAUCACAAUUUACCCACCUAAAUGCCAAUAACCACAAGGGCACAGGCCGGGGCCAAUGGAAGAGGCCCAACCAUGUAUCUUAAGCAUUUCGUGCCAAUAUCUAACCUGGGAGAAACCGGACAGGCCUGGGGCCAGGACGCCCAGGUGGGAGGGGGGCUGUGCUCGGGAACCCAGCCCGGCCGGCCGUCAUGUCCAGUGGCUACAGAGACAUUUCAGUAUUUUAACAACAAUAGGAUGGUCCUGCUCAUCUCUCCCGGAGAUGGCGGUGAGCCCACAGCUCUGAGGCCUUCAGGAAUGAAUUAAAAGUAUCGAUACAGGGGCGCCUGGGUGACUCUCCGUUUCAGCUCUGGUCACAAUCUCAGGGGCAUGGGAUCGAGCCUCAUCAGGGUCCCUGCUCAGCGCUGGGUCUGGUUGUCUCUCCCCCGCCAUUCAUGCUCCCUCUCUUUCUAAAAUAUAAAGAAAAACACCUUUUAAAAGAAUAA